CUCUUGUUUCUUUAGGAGUCGACUCGCUAACCGUCGGAGUCGACUCGAGUUCUUCUAGAGUCGACUCGGUUCUCAGAGUCCAAAACAACUUCUCUGUCUUUCUGUCUGUUACUCCUUGGAGUCGACUCGGAACUAUCGGGGGUCGACUCGGCAAGCAUCGGAGUCGACUUGAAUUCUUCAGGAGUCGACUCGGUGACAGGGUCUGAGAUUCAUUUUUCUGUCCUGUUGUCUGUUCUCAGUCGGAGUCGACUCGCAGUGUGCCGGAGUCGACUCGAGCCUGUGCCAGAACGUCUGAAACACUUGGACUCGACUCGAAAUCUUUCGGAGUCGACUCGAGUUUCAGCCUUUGACUUAAGCUGAUUUCCACAUGCACUCAAAAGAGGAUUCUUACAAAUUUUGCCUGAUAUGCUGGAUUGAAUUCAUUAGUAUAACAUAAAAUAUACUCAAUGGCUUUGUGCUCAUCAAAAUCAAAUAGGGUUAUAAUCAAUCACUCCACAAUCUUCCCCUUUUUGAUGAUGACAAAACAUUGAAUAUUUUUGAAGUGAAUUACUCUAUCAUUCAGUAAAAGUUUUGAAAUGAAUUCAAAUGUCUGGUUAUUUUAAUCUAUCCAGAAUUGAAAGGUAUGGAUCAGUAAAUCCUAAAUUAAAGCUCCCCCUUUUAUUUGGAAUUAUAUAAGCCUUCAUAUCAUGCAAUCAAUUGUUUGGCUUAUAUGUAGUUAAUGAUUUUGCUUUCUUAAGAUUUCAGAUUCUCCCCCUCAA
RNAcentral lists this long non-coding RNA (758 nucleotides) under Phoenix dactylifera (date palm). RNAcentral's name for it is "long non-coding RNA (PDAC_LNC008178)". The record is from RNAcentral. Lineage: Eukaryota; Viridiplantae; Streptophyta; Magnoliopsida; Arecales; Arecaceae.